CCUACGGGGGCAGCAGUGGGGAAUAUUGGACAAUGGGCGAAAGCCUGAUCCAGCCAUGCCGCGUGUGUGAAGAAGGCCUUCGGGUUGUAAAGCACUUUCAGUGGGGAAGAAAGCCUUGGGGCUAAUACCCUCGAGGAAGGACAUCACCCACAGAAGAAGCACCGGCUAACUCCGUGCCAGCAGCCGCGGUAAUACGGAGGGUGCGAGCGUUAAUCGGAAUUACUGGGCGUAAAGCGCGCGUAGGCGGUCUGAUAAGCCGGUUGUGAAAGCCCCGGGCUCAACCUGGGAACGGCAUCCGGAACUGUCAGGCUAGAGUGCAGGAGAGGAAGGUAGAAUUCCCGGUGUAGCGGUGAAAUGCGUAGAGAUCGGGAGGAAUACCAGUGGCGAAGGCGGCCUUCUGGACUGACACUGACGCUGAGGUGCGAAAGCGUGGGUAGCAAACAGGAUUAGAUACCCUUGUAGUC
Molecule: ribosomal RNA, 464 nt
Filed under: Vreelandella stevensii
Lineage: Bacteria; Pseudomonadati; Pseudomonadota; Gammaproteobacteria; Oceanospirillales; Halomonadaceae
Description: partial 16S ribosomal RNA
Rfam family: Bacterial small subunit ribosomal RNA
Source: RNAcentral